GUCCCUAUCGAUUAGUGGUUAAAUCAUCACGUUGUGGUGGACCCGUCUGCUCCGUGAAGCCGCGUGUUCGACUCACGCUAGGGACA
This 86-nucleotide transfer RNA is filed under the name Heliocybe sulcata. The record is from Rfam by way of RNAcentral. Lineage: Eukaryota; Fungi; Basidiomycota; Agaricomycetes; Gloeophyllales; Gloeophyllaceae.